CUAUGAUCCGUUCGCUUUGGCAAUCGCCAUUUAACUGUAAAAAGGAACGGAAUUUUCUACAAAACGCAAUCUUCCUUUUGAACUUGUGUUCGUCUUGAGCUCAAGUGUAUGUCCAUGUACAUAUGUAUGUGUGAGUGGCAUUCAAAUCUACAUAAAUAUGUACAUACAAAUCUAACUGUUAUUUAACAGAGUUGUCAAACGACUAACAAAUUAUAGGACUUUAACAAAGAAAUAUUGAAAUUGUAAUUUCUCAAGCACUUGCUAAUCAAAUGUUAAAUUUGGAACUGAAACUCAUCAAACCCCAAUAAGAAUUAAUAUAGACACCAUCGAAUAAAACGCAGUAAGAAUUUUCUUAAUUUUGAAAACUAAACCAAAUUUGUUAUUGCACAAAAAAUGGAGUCAAAAUAAAAAUAUUCAACAAAGUAAAAAACAAAAAGUGGUAUUGGAGUUUCACAGCAGCUUGUGGCGAACUCGUGGACAUAUCAACAAUUGCAAAAUAAAACCAUAAUUAAAGGUGAAAAGAAGCCUUACAUACAUAUGGACUUAACGAAAUUAAAGGCCCAUUGGAGAUGGAAUUAAAAUGUGUCAUCACGUUCUGAUAUUGCGACCAAUGGAAACUUAAGGAAAUUUAAUUGGAUGAAAUUCUUAAAAUCUGACAGCAUUUUUUGCGCGUGUUUUAACUUGUGGCCCGGCCAGCAUUUCCUGUCCAUAAUGUGGAGGCUUCUCGAUGGGUUUCCCCCUGUUUUCCACUCCUCGGAAAACUUUCUGCGCGGGGCGACGACAAUCAUAAUCGGCAUUGACAAACGCACAUUGCGUAUACUUAUCGAGUGUAGCGCGCAUAUGCAUUUCCACGAGUAUAUUCAACUGGUAUUACAUGGUCUUCGGACGUAUGUGGUGGACUGGGGGAGAUGGCUUUCAAAACAUUCCCAAAGGUGUCAAGAUUAUGUGCAUAAAUAAUGAGAUUUUCAGACAGCACUGAGUGGGCUAAUUAAUUGAGUUGGCCAAAGGUUAACGCUGGACAAAUACAAACACUACUUCGAAAUGGGGGAAUACUUCUGGAUAAUUUCAGAUUUACCUAAAUUAAAGAAACAGCUCAUGUAUGCAAAUUGCAUAUUCCAUUUGCUCAUCAAUUUUCAAA
Drosophila elegans is the source of this 1138-nucleotide long non-coding RNA. RefSeq lists it as uncharacterized. NCBI's taxonomy places the organism in Eukaryota, Metazoa, Arthropoda, Insecta, Diptera, Drosophilidae. The transcript has 3 exons. The record is from RefSeq and is a predicted model, not a curated record.